This 3483-nucleotide long non-coding RNA is filed under the name Marmota monax (woodchuck). The record is from RNAcentral. Lineage: Eukaryota; Metazoa; Chordata; Mammalia; Rodentia; Sciuridae.
GGGAGCCCUUGUGAGGCUCUGCACUGGGACAAGGGUUUGAGCCCAGACUUGUUUCACAGAGUUGACCAGGACAGCGCUUUGCACAAUGAUCUCCAAAUCCUCAAAGAGAAGGAAGGAGCUGAUUUCAUCCUACUUAAUUUCUCCUUUAAGGUAAGCCUUCCCCCAGCUCUCCCUCCCUGGCCUGAGUUCCCUGUCUGCCUAAGUCUUGUGAGGAUGCCGGUCUCCUUCCCUGAAUGCUGCCUCUGUCUUUCUCAGGAUAACUUUCCCUUUGACCCACCGUUCGUCAGGGUUGUGUCUCCAGUCCUCUCUGGAGGGUGAGUGGCUGGGUCAGGGAGAGGGUGAAGCAGGGACUGGAAGCUCUUGCCAGGCCUGACUGACCGACCUUUCUCAUGCAGGUAUGUUCUGGGCGGAGGUGCCAUCUGCAUGGAACUUCUCACCAAGCAGGUGAGGCCCUUUCACUGUUGGCCCAAGAGCCUGGGUGGGGCCCGACAGCUGAGCUUCCUCCCCAUCCCAGCCUGGGCACAGGCGUCUGUGGCCCUGUUACCCUGCCACGUAGUGGCUGUCCUGGGAGGGAAGGGCACGGGCACUUCCAUAGAGAGGCACUGCCGCCUGGAGAAGAAGUGGAAGGUGUCUCCAGGAGCCCUGUCCUGACUCGCUCGCUUUGUCCCUGCUGUCCCCAGGGCUGGAGCAGUGCCUACUCCAUAGAGUCAGUGAUCAUGCAGAUCAGUGCCACACUGGUGAAGGGGAAAGCGCGAGUGCAGUUUGGAGCCAACAAAGUAAGGGGCCUGGCCUGGCGGGCUGGCUGGAGCCGAGUGCGUCGUGGCCCAGGCUGAGGGCAAAGGGGACACAGUCCCUGGGCUGCGAUGUUGGAGGAGAGGGCCUGGGGUGGCCACAGUGGGAACAGAGCAGGGCCUUAGCUGAGGGGUGUCCUCAGGGUUUGGGGGUUCAGGUCAGGAAAGGGAAGGCUGUGGGAUUGUGUCCCCAAGGGACCUCUCAGACAGAGGUCCUUAGCGUGCUACCAGGGUACCGCGCUGGCAGCCGGGCUUCCUGGGUCUCUGGGUGGCCGCCUGUGGAAGGGGAGGGGCAGUGAGCCACAGCUGGCGUGGCCUGACCGGUGGCUUCUCCCCCCAGUCUCAGUACAGUCUGACGAGAGCACAGCAGUCCUACAAGUCCUUGGUGCAGAUCCACGAAAAGAACGGUGAGGCCGGAGCCGGGCCCGGGGCUCUGGUGCUGGGCAACCCCAGGUUCUCACUCGGCCCGUAGCAAGGUCCCUCUGGGUUUCCGAGCCGUUCACCCACUCACCCACACCUGCCGGCUCUCCAGAGAAGGCCUGGAGGUGGUGUCGUGGGCAGUCUUGGUGCUGCCCUCUUCCUGACCACCCUUUGAAAGACUCUUCACCACCUCGGGUUGGGCUCUUCACUCUCCCUGUCCUUACAACCUCCAGGUAGGCAGCCUCCGCUUCCCUGUACCUCUCUUCUCGCACCUGGCAGCCUCCCUAGGACCUUCUUGCCUGGAGACGCUGCAGAUGUCCACGGUGACUGGGACAGGGAGGGCGCUCUGGGCCUGGACCUCGCUGACCUGGUGUGUUUCUUUGCAGGCUGGUACACACCCCCAAAGGAAGACGGCUAACCCUGGAGCGUCGCCCCUCCUCCUCCCCCAGGCACCACUGGACCAAUACCUUUGAAUGCUGUAUCUGGAUCUCACGCUGCCUCUGUGGUUCCCUCCCUCAUUUUUCCUGGACGUGAUAGCUCUGCCUAUUGCAGGACAAUGAUGGCUAUUCUAAACGCUAAGGAAAAAAAACAAAAAAACAAACAGAACUGUUUCAAGUACUCAAGACUGACUACAGACCAACAACCACCUUGCUGGAACCCUUGCUAGCAGGCAUUCUUAUAAAGAAACUCUCGAGCCUCCUUAUAUUGCUGGAAACUCAGCUGUGCUCCAGACUAGAGCCUCCUUACCUAUGCUAUGGAUUUUUAAUUUAUUUUCUCUUAUUUCAUGUACACUGCUUUUUUUGGUUACAGUGUAUGAUGGAUGUGUAUGAAAAAAAAAUGUAUCUUUGGGAAAACAAUUACAGUUUGUUAAUUUGAAGAUGCUGGUCUUGACUCAUCUUUAUUUUUAUUCCCACAUCCCACCCCACCCCCAUCCCCUGACUGCUUGGGAGGUGGGGGAGGGGUGCCAGGUCCACUGUGCUUUGGUAGCCAUGAGGCUGUGCUCCGCUAACCCAAGAAAUCUGGAGCUAAGCACCACCUGGCCCACCCCUAGGUUUCCCAAAGGCCCCUGCUGACUUACAGUGUAGCAGGCUGGUAUGAUGAACUUGAUUCUUAGGACUGCGUUUCACUUCUAGUUUCAGAGACUUUUCAAAUUUCUAAGAAAUAGAAAAUGUGGAGGCUCAAGAGGCUGCUUCAUAGAAAUCCUUUUAUGAGAACUGAGUGGGGCUGGGGCGCAGGCUCCUGCGUGUGUACGUGGUCUUUUCUAAUCACAGCCAUCCGCUGUCUAGCUACAACUCUGCAGUGUGCUUUGGCUCCUCUCCCUCCCAGAAAGUGGCUUCUGACUGGCCCUGGAUUGUGAUCAGUGGUAAGCUCUGCUCACCUUCCUCCUGUCUCCUGCUUCAUUUGGGGGUGUAGAAGAGAAAUGGCUCUUGAAGUAAGUUUGGCUGACUUGGAGAAUUGUGGACCCCUUCAAGUCAUUCUUGUAAGAUGCUGGUCCUACUAGAAACGGUUAGCUCUGAGGUGGGUUGUUGCAUGACCUGUGUCCUUACCCCAGGCGUGAGGAACUGCUGGGCCAGGAGGAAAGUGGGAGGAGUCUGUGGGGCUGGAGCAGGUGGUGCUGUGUUGUAUGUACUGCUGUUGUAAAAGUUUGGACAUGACUUUGCAUAUGGCGGGUGCUGCCUGUGUCUCCCUGUCAGGAAGCUUGCUUUGGGGCAGAGGCAGCUUUUGGGGGCUGACUGUGCCCACAGAGUGGGUAAAGAUUGAAAACAACAGAGGCCAGAAACAGCUAAGACAGACCCAAGUCUUAGGAAACCCAGAUCUGGGACGGCUGCCUGGGAACCUGUAGGAGGCCCGAGGAGCCCUGUGAUGCUUUAAGACACAGCAAUUUUAACUUGGCCAUUCUCCCCUCCCCCACCCCAUCCCGAGGGAUUCUAAUGUCUUGCUGCUUUAGGUGGAUGGAGAGUUCACCAAUCCCAUUCAAUGCUGCUCCAACUCUGCCCACACCCACCUGAUUAGGGGUGCUAAUACAUGCCGAGGUUGAGAUAAAGAGGGGACCUAAGGGGAAAAUUCAUUCCAUAGAGCUGAAAUCUGGUUUUCAAGGCCUCCGUGGCUUUCUUCUGAAUUUAUUACCAGCCCUGGCUGGAAUGUAGAUUGUGUUUUUAGUAAUGUGUACUGUGAGCUGUCCUCUGUAUAAUGUAUUUUGUAAUGUAUUUUUCUCAUCUACCAAAGGAUGAAACAAAUAAAAUUAUUUAAAUAGUUUGGCUCUAAUAAACUU